UAUUUUAUUUAUUUAUUUAUUCUUCUUCUGUGACUAUUGGGUCAGAGACUUGGGUGUGUUAUGCUAGUAGCAGCUAAUGUAACCUCAAGCAGAGCUGAGGAGCAAGCUACAGAGGUCUGGUAAGCUAUCCUCUUCCUAAAUCCACAUCUCCAGGUUUUGUUUUUCAUUUUCAAACUUGUCAUCUUCAGUCCCAAACAACGCUGACUCAAGUGACAUCACUUGAGGACAUUUAUCAGACUUUGCACAUCUCCCUCUGGAGCCACAAAAAACUUUAUACUUCAUGGAUUUCAUAUAUGCAGUAGUACUCCCCAAAGGCAAAGACAACAUCAGGUGUUUCAUGUUUUUUAUGCAUAACUAGGUUGGUCAUUAAGUUACACACAUAAAUCCUUAAUACACUAACUUCUUACAUAAAUAUAGG
Long non-coding RNA from Sander lucioperca (pikeperch), 418 nucleotides. RefSeq lists it as uncharacterized. The transcript is spliced from 2 exons. The record is from RefSeq and is a predicted model, not a curated record. Lineage: Eukaryota; Metazoa; Chordata; Actinopteri; Perciformes; Percidae.